Molecule: ribosomal RNA, 252 nt
Filed under: uncultured Bacteroidales bacterium
Lineage: Bacteria; Pseudomonadati; Bacteroidota; Bacteroidia; Bacteroidales
Description: partial 16S ribosomal RNA
Rfam family: Bacterial small subunit ribosomal RNA
Source: RNAcentral
UACGGAGGAUGCGAGCGUUAUUCGGAUUUAUUGGGUUUAAAGGGUGCGUAGGCGGGCUGUUAAGUCAGCGGUCAAAUGUCGGGGCUCAACCCCGGCCUGCCGUUGAAACUGGCGGCCUCGAGUGGGCGAGAAGUAUGCGGAAUGCGUGGUGUAGCGGUGAAAUGCAUAGAUAUCACGCAGAACCCCGAUUGCGAAGGCAUCUGACGAAUCGGAGAUUGACGCUGAUGCACGAAAGCGUGGGUAUCGAACAGG